UGGGGAAUUUUGGACAAUGGGCGAAAGCCUGAUCCAGCAAUGCCGCGUGUGUGAAGAAGGCCUUCGGGUUGUAAAGCACUUUUGUCCGGAAAGAAAUCCUCUGGGUUAAUACCUCGGGGGGAUGACGGUACCGGAAGAAUAAGCACCGGCUAACUACGUGCCAGCAGCCGCGGUAAUACGUAGGGUGCAAGCGUUAAUCGGAAUUGCUGGGCGUAAAGCGUGCGCAGGCGGUUUUGUAAGACGGAUGUGAAAUCCCCGGGCUUAACCUGGGAACUGCAUUCGUGACUGCAAGGCUAGAGUAUGGCAGAGGGGGGUAGAAUUCCACGUGUAGCAGUGAAAUGCGUAGAGAUGUGGAGGAAUACCGAUGGCGAAGGCAGCCCCCUGGGCCAAUACUGACGCUCAUGCACGAAAGCGUGGGGAGCAAACAGGAUUAGAUACCCUGGUAGUCCACGCCCUAAACGAUGUCAACUAGUUGUUGGGGAUUCAUUUCCUUAGUAACGUAGCUAACGCGUGAAGUUGACCGCCUGGGGAGUACGGUCGCAAGAUUAAAACUUAAAUGAAUUGACGGGGUCAUAGCUGUUU
RNAcentral lists this ribosomal RNA (582 nucleotides) under uncultured bacterium. RNAcentral describes it as "partial 16S ribosomal RNA". It matches the Rfam family "Bacterial small subunit ribosomal RNA", at positions 355 to 935 of the family's 1533-position model. The record is from RNAcentral.